This is a long non-coding RNA of Beta vulgaris subsp. vulgaris (sugar beet), 3272 nucleotides long. RefSeq lists it as uncharacterized. The transcript is spliced from 4 exons. NCBI's taxonomy places the organism in Eukaryota, Viridiplantae, Streptophyta, Magnoliopsida, Caryophyllales, Amaranthaceae. The record is from RefSeq and is a predicted model, not a curated record.
UUUUUCCAUCUUCUUCACUAGCCACCAUUUCUCAAAAAGGAGAAGAUCUUGCAAUUAUCAAAGGGAAGCAAAGAGGUUUCAAGAAUAAUUAAAGCCAGUCAAACUUUUGACUGUUGAUUUUUGUGUAAUCAAGAGUUUAGAGAAGAAAUUGCAGGUACAAGUUCUUGAUGUGCAUGGAAAUCAUAAGCAUCCGGAUGGGAGUUUAGUACACGAGUACUUUCUUAUUUAGGUUAUCUUGAAUGUUAUAUUUGACUUUACUUGACCAAGGGGUCAAGGUUUGACUUUUGAAGAUGGGACUAGUAUGGGAUAGUCUCGGAGUUUGUAAUUCAUUUACAUACUUUCUUAUUUAUGUUGUAUUAAAGUAUUUUCAGUUUAUUUUAAAAGACUUCCGCUGUAUUAUCUGAUUAGCCUUACGUAUUAUCAUGCGUGGCAUAACAACUCCCGUAAUUUCUCCUAGUUUAUAAAAGGAGGAGUCGUGGGGGUGUUACAAAGUGGUUACCAGAGCUCCAAGGUUUAUAUUACCUUAUUUUACAAAAGUUUUCGAACUUAAAAGUAUUUCAAAGUCGAAUUGCAAAAAGGGAAGGGAAUUGCAUAUGCAUAUGUACAUUGCGUCGCAUUAGCCACUAAGACUUUAUGUGUCUUAGAUUAGUAAGUGCUCUUAGUUCUAGUAGCACUUUUGAUGUGUUUUAUGUGACUAAGUGUUUGAUUGCAACGUGAUUGGUAUUUUCUACUUGUAUGGAGUCCAGUUUGGACUGAAAGGUGUAGUAUGACUACAAAGUAGUGCUAGUUUUGCUUUCAUCUACUACUCUAGUAAGAGAGUUAGUAUAAAAGUUCCUUAGAAAGGAGAUUGCGAAUUAAAUGUCAGUGUGGCAUUUGCUUAGUAUUUUGACCUAAAUUCUGACAUGAAUUGCAAAUUCUUUAAUAUCAAUCAAACAAAUUUAAGUCAUUUUUUGGGAAAUGAAACUUCCUAUAAACAUUAAAUUCCAUAUAUACUAAACGAGCACUUAAUAACAACAACAAAAUUUACCCGAUGUAUGAGACUAUUAGGGAUGGCAAUCCAGUCCGAAUCCGACCCUACUCCGCUCCAAUUCGAAGAAAAAAAUCCGAGUUGACUCCGGAAAAAAAAAGUAAUCUGACUCCGACUCCGUUUAAAAAAUUCGACUCCGAGUCGGAGGAGGGUCGGAGUCGGAUCUCAUAAAAUAAUACGACAUCCGAAUCCGACUCCGACUUUGAGUCAAUCAAUCCUUUUUUCUUAUUUAUGUAUAAUCUGACUUCGACUUUUAGCCAAUUGUAUUAUAUAGGAUUUUCUCAUAGAAAAAAUGAUUGUUAAAAAUAAUAGUAAUAAUUAAAUUAUUUGUACUAUAUAAGAUUUUCAUAUGAUGAUUAGAAUAAAUUGUAACGAUUAAAUUAUUGUAUUAUAGAAGACUAUUCUAUUAUAAAAAAUAGGAAGAAACAUAAGUCGGAUCAGGUUCGGAGUCGGAUGUUCGGAUUUUAAGUCGGAUGUCCGGAUUUUAAGUCGGGUCGGAUCUCGGAGUCGGAUGUUCGGAUUUUAAGUCGGGUCGGAUUCGGAUUGUCAAAGCCGGAUGUCGGAGUCGGACUCAGAUUUAAAAUCCGACUUUCUGUAGGGUCGGAGUCGGAUUAUGCAUAAUCCGGUCCAAGUCCGACCCGUUGCCAUUCCUAGACACUAUGACUCUAUGAGUAUAUGCUAGAUUUACUGUAGAAAGAGUGUUACUCAUCGUGAAGUGAACAACGUGUUCACUAGUAAAAAGCCCAAAGCAAUGUUUGACCCAUAACAUUAUAAUUUACCAGUUUGACCCAAACGAUGGUUUUGAUUAUGGGUUUGGUCAGUUCCAAUUCUAAUGAAACUUGGGCUGUUGGGCAAUUCACUUAUACAAGACGAAAUUUUUUACCAACAACCAAAUGAAUAAACAGUACGAAUAGUGUGGACGAAUUCAAAUUGUUACAAUGAUACCAUAUCAUCAGGAUUUUAAACCAAAACUAUCUAUUGGUAAUUGGUCUAUUUUUAUAAUUAUAUUUAAUCUAAAAUGCUAAAAUAAAUCAUCCAUAUAUUACAAAUUGUUUAUUCAAAGUCAUCCUUUAAAUUUUCCCGAUAACCGUUAUUUUGUAAAUUAUCACUAUGUCGACAUAUUCAAACACUUGUACUAGACCGACGUUCUUUCCCUUUUAAUUAAAUUAAGAUAGAUUGAAGAUUUAAUGUGUGAAUAUACGCUAUGCUAAAUCAGAGGUUUUGAUAUUGGAUUGUGUUAAUAUGAACUUAAAAUUAAGGAUCUUCGAAUCAAAAUGUUACUUUAAGGGUGCCUUUAUUUGAACUAUAAUUCAUCUUGUAAAUUUUAAAGUUAAAAAUAUGAUAUAUUUGAUAAGUUUGCUAGACCUCAAAAAUACAUGGUAUAAAAUCCCUUUAAUACUUCUUGUUCUUAUAUAUGCUUCACACAAAAAACUACUUAUCUAUUUUUGGUGCAUGUUAGAACUCUAUAUAUUAUUUUUGUCGAGAUUAUAGCAUCACAUAGCAAAUUUCUUGAGAAAGAAAAGCCUAAUCUACAUCAUGACAAAUUUAGCUCUAUCAGUAAAACAUUAGAUCUAGUACAUAUUGUAACAUGAGUUCUUUUAUCUACAUAUUCGAAAGCGACCUCGCUAUGUUUUUUUUUUUUUUUUUUUUGAUUGGGAAAUUAAGUUAACCCAAGGGCUAACCCCUACCAAGGUUACUAGCCUUGUAGGAACAACCAACACAUUGGCUGGUAAAGCAUGCAAAGCAUGCUAAGGAAAUACCCCAACAUAAUGCUGGGGGUAAGGAUCGAACCCAUGACCUCAAGGAUCAGAGGGGAGUGAGCGACCUCGCUAUGUAUGCAACUCAAACUAUUAUGUUGUACGAAAUUAAGAUGUUUCUAAAAAAGUUGCACCACGUAAAAGGUUUGAUAAAAUAUUCUGGUAAUUCUACAAGAUAGGGAAAAAUGAUUUUUCUUUAUUCUGGUUACAUUACAACCUUACAAAUUAAAGGUUAUGCUAUAAAUUAAAGUUGUUCCUUCAACAACAUUGCAUGAAUAUGAAUGGUGACUUAAUGAAGGCACGAUGAUAUUUUUGUACUAAGAUAACUACUCCUGAGUCCUGCCAUACUUUUCAUUUAGGAGUAGUUAAUAAAAAUGUUUGGUUAUGGUGACCUAUCCCUCUCAAACGUUAAAAGAUUGUUUGGAAUUGAGAGGAAAACAUAUUCAUAGAAAUGAUUUUUACAUACUGUAUUUCUUUAUUUGAUUUAA